This 484-nucleotide ribosomal RNA is filed under the name uncultured bacterium. Its description in RNAcentral is "partial 16S ribosomal RNA". It matches the Rfam family "Bacterial small subunit ribosomal RNA", at positions 30 to 507 of the family's 1533-position model. The record is from RNAcentral.
AUUGAACGCUGGCGGAAUGCUUUACACAUGCAAGUCGAACGGCAGCACGGGGGCAGCCCUGGUGGCGAGUGGCGAACGGGUGAGUAAUACAUCGGAACGUGCCCGGUCGUGGGGGAUAACGUAGCGAAAGUUACGCUAAUACCGCAUACGAUCUGAGGAUGAAAGCGGGGGACCUUCGGGCCUCGCGCGAUCGGAGCGGCCGAUGUCAGAUUAGGUAGCUGGUGGGGUAAAGGCCUACCAAGCCGACGAUCUGUAGCUGGUCUGAGAGGACGACCAGCCACACUGGGACUGAGACACGGCCCAGACUCCUACGGGAGGCAGCAGUGGGGAAUUUUGGACAAUGGGCGCAAGCCUGAUCCAGCCAUUCCGCGUGCAGGACGAAGGCCUUCGGGUUGUAAACUGCUUUUGUACGGAACGAAAAGGCUCUGGCUAAUACCUGGGGCUCAUGACGGUACCGUAAGAAUAAGCACCGGCUAACUACGUG